UGGGGAAUUUUGGACAAUGGGCGCAAGCCUGAUCCAGCCAUGCCGCGUGCGGGAAGAAGGCCUUCGGGUUGUAAACCGCUUUUGUCAGGGAAGAAAUCUUCUGAGUUAAUACCUCGGGAGGAUGACGGUACCUGAAGAAUAAGCACCGGCUAACUACGUGCCAGCAGCCGCGGUAAUACGUAGGGUGCAAGCGUUAAUCGGAAUUACUGGGCGUAAAGCGUGCGCAGGCGGUUUUGUAAGACAGAGGUGAAAUCCCCGGGCUCAACCUGGGAACUGCCUUUGUGACUGCAAGGCUUGAGUGCGGCAGAGGGGGAUGGAAUUCCGCGUGUAGCAGUGAAAUGCGUAGAUAUGCGGAGGAAACACCGAUGGCGAAGGCAAUCCCCUGGGCCUGCACUGACGCUCAUGCACGAAAGCGUGGGGAGCAAACAGGAUUAGAUAGCCCUGGUAGGUCCACGCCCUAAAACCGAUGUCAACUGGUUGUUGGGAAGGUUCCUUCUCAGUAACGUAGCUAACGCGUGAAGUUGACCGCCUGGGGAGUACGGCCGCAAGGUUGAAACUCAAAUGAAUUGACGGGGUCAUAGCUAUUU
Molecule: ribosomal RNA, 587 nt
Filed under: uncultured bacterium
Lineage: Bacteria
Description: partial 16S ribosomal RNA
Rfam family: Bacterial small subunit ribosomal RNA
Source: RNAcentral